This 252-nucleotide ribosomal RNA is filed under the name uncultured bacterium. Its description in RNAcentral is "partial 16S ribosomal RNA". It matches the Rfam family "Bacterial small subunit ribosomal RNA", at positions 525 to 776 of the family's 1533-position model. The record is from RNAcentral.
ACGGAGGGUGCAAGCGUUGUCCGGAUUUAUUGGGUUUAAAGGGUGCGUAGGCGGGCCUAUAAGUCAGUGGUGAAAUACUUCAGCUUAACUGGAGAGGUGCCAUAGAUACUGUAGGCCUUGAGUGAAAUUGAAGUAGGCGGAAUUGAUGGUGUAGCGGUGAAAUGCAUAGAUAUCAUCAAGAACACCGAUAGCGAAGGCAGCUUACUUAGUUUCAACUGACGCUGAGGCACGAAAGCGUGGGGAGCGAACAGG